GGUGUAUUAGCUUAAUGGAUAGAGCUUUUCUCUGACUAAGGAAAUGAUCUGGGUCUGAAUCCCGGGUGCAUCU
Ilyonectria destructans is the source of this 73-nucleotide non-coding RNA. NCBI's taxonomy places the organism in Eukaryota, Fungi, Ascomycota, Sordariomycetes, Hypocreales, Nectriaceae. The record is from the annotation of a GenBank genome assembly.